CUCGGAGUUUGAUCCUGGCUCAGAUUGAACGCUGACGGAAUGCUUUACACAUGCAAGUCGAACGGUAGAGGGGGCAACCCCCUCGAGAGUGGCGAACGGGUGAGUAAUAUAUCGGAACGUGCCCAGUCGUGGGGGAUAACGUAGUGAAAAUUACGCUAAUACCGCAUACGAUCUAAGGAUGAAAGCGGGGGAUCGCAAGACCGUCGCGCGAUUGGAGCGGCCGAUAUCAGAUUAGGUAGUUGGU
RNAcentral lists this ribosomal RNA (244 nucleotides) under uncultured Limnohabitans sp. RNAcentral describes it as "partial 16S ribosomal RNA". It matches the Rfam family "Bacterial small subunit ribosomal RNA", at positions 1 to 253 of the family's 1533-position model. The record is from RNAcentral. Lineage: Bacteria; Pseudomonadati; Pseudomonadota; Betaproteobacteria; Burkholderiales; Comamonadaceae.